ACUUUACAAUGCUGGCAACAGCGAUAAGGGAACCUCGAGUGCCAGGUUACAAAUCUGGCAGUCGAGAUGCCUAAAAAGCAUUUCAUAGCAAGGGCCGGGCAAGACCGGUGCCAGCCGCCGCGGUAACACCGGCGGCUCGAGUGGUAACCGUUAUUAUUGGGUCUAAAGGGUCUGUAGCCGGCCGGAUAAGUCUCUUGAGAAAUCUGGCAGCUUAACUGUCAGGCUUUCAGGAGAUACUGUCUGGCUCGAGGCCGGGAGAGGUGAGAGGUACUUCAGGGGUAGGGGUGAAAUCUUGUAAUCCUUGAAGGACCACCAGUGGCGAAGGCGUCUCACCAGAACGGACCUGACGGCAAGGGACGAAAGCUAGGGGCACGAACCGG
This 380-nucleotide ribosomal RNA is filed under the name uncultured archaeon. RNAcentral describes it as "bacterial SSU rRNA". It matches the Rfam family "Archaeal small subunit ribosomal RNA", at positions 347 to 727 of the family's 1478-position model. The record is from RNAcentral.